RNAcentral lists this ribosomal RNA (569 nucleotides) under uncultured Gammaproteobacteria bacterium. RNAcentral describes it as "bacterial SSU rRNA". It matches the Rfam family "Bacterial small subunit ribosomal RNA", at positions 812 to 1381 of the family's 1533-position model. The record is from RNAcentral. Lineage: Bacteria; Pseudomonadati; Pseudomonadota; Gammaproteobacteria.
UCGAUUUGGAGUUUGUUGCCCUGAGUGAUGGGCUCCGAAGCUAACGCGAUAAAUCGACCGCCUGGGGAGUACGGCCGCAAGGUUAAAACUCAAAUGAAUUGACGGGGGCCCGCACAAGCGGUGGAGCAUGUGGUUUAAUUCGAUGCAACGCGAAGAACCUUACCUGGUCUUGACAUCCACAGAAUCUUGCAGAGAUGUGAGAGUGCCUUCGGGAACUGUGAGACAGGUGCUGCAUGGCUGUCGUCAGCUCGUGUUGUGAAAUGUUGGGUUAAGUCCCGCAACGAGCGCAACCCUUAUCCUUUGUUGCCAUCGGUUAGGCCGGGAACUCAAAGGAGACUGCCGUUGAUAAAGCGGAGGAAGGUGGGGACGACGUCAAGUCAUCAUGGCCCUUACGACCAGGGCUACACACGUGCUACAAUGGCGUAUACAAAGGGAGGCGACCUCGCGGGAGCAAGCGGACCUCAUAAAGUACGUCUAAGUCCGGAUUGGAGUCUGCAACUCGACUCCAUGAAGUCGGAAUCGCUAGUAAUCGUGAAUCACAAUGUCACGGUGAAUACGUUCCCGGGCCU